This is a long non-coding RNA of Carassius carassius (crucian carp), 563 nucleotides long. RefSeq lists it as uncharacterized. NCBI's taxonomy places the organism in Eukaryota, Metazoa, Chordata, Actinopteri, Cypriniformes, Cyprinidae. The record is from RefSeq and is a predicted model, not a curated record. The transcript has 2 exons.
UUGUGGGAAAAACUUCAGACAGUCCAGUCACCUGAACACACAUGUCAGGAUCCACACGGGAGAGAGACCUCACAUCUGUCAGAACUGUGGGAAGACGUUUAUUGACUCCAGCGCAAGAAACAGACACUUCAAAAAAAAUUUUACCUGAACUCCUUAAAACACUUUCAAUGGUACAUUUUCCACAGCAGAACUAACUGAGUUUCUCGAAUCAUCUGAACUGAGGUAUGGCUCACAUUUUGACCAUGCAAUGUUUUAUUUAAUGAACAAAUUUUUAAUCUUUUUUUUCUGCUUGAAAAAAAGCUUUUUAUCUUGUUUCUUCUACUUAAUAUUAAAUUCGUAUUAGCUAGCAUAUUUAUGAGAAAAUGUACUAAUUUAUUUAUUACUCUUUUUUUAAGCAAACAAAAUAUUGCAUUUCAUUUUCAUACAUUUCCUUGGUCUUAUUUUUUAAGCUGGUAGUAUAGAAUGUAUAAACAUUACUGCAGUUUAUAAUAAUAAUUAUUAUUUUUUUAAUGGUUAAAUUUUGUUUGUGAAGUUUUAUGAAUAAAAGAUCAUGUUUUUUACAA